RNAcentral lists this ribosomal RNA (198 nucleotides) under uncultured prokaryote. RNAcentral describes it as "partial 16S ribosomal RNA". The record is from RNAcentral.
CAGCAAUCUUGAACACUCAUCCUUAAUACCUUUCUUUUUGGGGUAAUUAUACUCAUCGCGAAUAUCCUUAAGAGGGCGUUCAGCAGCCAGCUUGCGGCAAAACUGCGUAACCGUCUUCUCGUUCUCUAAAAACCAUUUUUCGUCCCCUUCGGGGCGGUGGUCUAUAGUGUUAUUAAUAUCAAGUUGGGGGAGCACAUU